UUUAAGUAUAACUCUUGACUUGUGUGAUAAGUUUGUCUCUCCACCUUUGAUAGUAAAGAAAUGAACCACCACACGCUAGAUCUUACAACGCCAGGAUAGGUAUUUUACACAUCAGCUAAUCCUAUCAUGUGUUUUUGCAAUCUGUCAGUCAACCAUUGGUUGAUACAUGCAACGUCUAAGCAGUGUGACCUUAGUCAGUACUGACAAAAACCUGCAGGUGUGUCCCUCACAGCAACAACCUGCUAUAAGAUGGGUGUUGACCCAAGAUCAGCCUCCUUGAACAAGGUAAGUAUACUGCACUAUCUCUGCACUAAUCAAUGUACAGUAUACUGCACUAUCUCUGCACUAAACAAGGUACAGUAUACUGCACUAUCUCUGCACUAAACAAGGUACAGUAUACUGCACUAUCUCUGCACUAAACAAGGUACAGUAUACUGCACUAUCUCUGCACUAAACAAGGUACAGUAUACUGCACUAUCUCUGCACUAAACAAGGUACAGUAUACUGCACUAUCUCUGCACUAAACAAGAUACAGUAUACUGCACUAUCUCUGCACUAAUCAAGGUACAGUAUACUGCACUAUCUCUGCACUAAACAAGAUACAGUAUACUACACUAUCUCUGCACUAAACAAGAUAAAUGUUUCAGUUGAAAGUCUAACUAUGUUUCCUCUUUCACUGUUAAACAAUAUUAAGACGUGUAUAAAUAUAAACAUACUGUAAUAGCAGAAUGUGAUUGUUAACAGCUACAUGAUUAUAUUGUUUUGGCAUUUUGAUGUUAAGUGAUGCAAUCAUGUGACUAUUUAUGCAUAAAU
Long non-coding RNA from Oncorhynchus tshawytscha (Chinook salmon), 813 nucleotides. RefSeq lists it as uncharacterized. Lineage: Eukaryota; Metazoa; Chordata; Actinopteri; Salmoniformes; Salmonidae. The transcript has 4 exons. The record is from RefSeq and is a predicted model, not a curated record.